ACUCUGGUACUCGAUAUCCAGCUAUAGCCGUAGCUUCCCCUGCAGAGGACAUGGGCCUGACAAAUCCUUAUGCAUGGGUAGAGGCUACUAUCCAUACUGCGUCUUAUUCUGCUUUUCAUACUUUCCCCCUCCCCCUACCUCUUCUGACUGGUCCAUGUCCUCAUGUUGGGUCACCUGAAAUUCUUAGCAGCACAAGAGAUAUUCUCAGCAUGCUGUCACCUUCUCAGAUCUACCAUUGUGUCUUUCUCUCAUGCUUAGGAACAUGCUUCAAGAUGGGGACUUGGUCCUGGAAACAGAUGUGGAUGGCAGACCCUGCUAGGACAGUGUGCCAGAUGCACCUUUCACCAGUGACCUUAGUAGAAGCUGUUCUUGAUUCUUUCACGAGGCAGUAAGGAUCCAGUUAACCCUCCUUCAGAUCUGCCUGUGCCUCAGUGUGCUGCAAGAGUCAAAUGGGCCGAUUGCCUUGAGAACAAUCUCUAAGCCACCGCCGCCGAGAGUC
RNAcentral lists this long non-coding RNA (499 nucleotides) under Mus spicilegus (steppe mouse). RNAcentral's name for it is "lncRNA (ENSMSIG00000022720.1)". Lineage: Eukaryota; Metazoa; Chordata; Mammalia; Rodentia; Muridae. The record is from RNAcentral.